Molecule: non-coding RNA, 253 nt
Filed under: Mucinivorans hirudinis
Lineage: Bacteria; Pseudomonadati; Bacteroidota; Bacteroidia; Bacteroidales; Rikenellaceae
Source: RNAcentral
GUAACGAUUAAACUAUGCGGUAUGCCCAACCCCUAUAAAGGAGAGGGCGUUUAAUAGGGAAUACGGUGUGAAUCCGUAACAGUACCCGCUGCUGUAAGUUCCAUUAGGUCAGGAGAGUAGGAAAAUUCUACACUCCUGACACUCAAAAAAUCGCUUUGCACAACUCACAAGCCACUGGGUGUCACAACUCCGGGAAGGCACGGCAAAGAGUAUAGGAACAAGUCAGAAGACCUGCCCAAAGUUUAGCUAUUCA